Homo sapiens (human) is the source of this 216-nucleotide long non-coding RNA. RefSeq lists it as uncharacterized. Lineage: Eukaryota; Metazoa; Chordata; Mammalia; Primates; Hominidae. The record is from RefSeq and is a predicted model, not a curated record. The transcript is spliced from 3 exons.
GAGGAGGGAAGAUAUUUCUUACAAGUACCCUGAGAAAAUGAGUAAAUUUUAGGUCCAGCAAGAGGAAGCUGCAACGAAAAGGGGAACUGCUGAUGAAUAAGGCACAGUCACUUUCCUCAAGCUACUUGCAAUAAAAUGCGGUUGACUGACACAUAAAAAGGCAAUUUAAUAUGAGUGUGAUAGGGACUGGCGCAUGUGUUUUAUCUCGGAUGGAAG